CUUGGUUGCGGAAGCAAUUAAAAUGACCAUAAGCAAUAAGCAUAAUCAAAGGGGGAAAUUGGGACUAAGGGAGCAAGAGAAAAAAAAGAAGAAAUGAUACAUAAAUACCAUAGAUGAGUCAAGCUCAAGCAUAAUACACAACUUGUCCAACACCACCUCUAAACAUGAGUACUUAGCGGGGGCCAAGACAAACUACCGGGCUCACCCUCAUAGACAAAAC
This 220-nucleotide long non-coding RNA is filed under the name Solanum tuberosum (potato). Its description in RNAcentral is "long non-coding RNA (STUB_LNC000265)". The record is from RNAcentral. Lineage: Eukaryota; Viridiplantae; Streptophyta; Magnoliopsida; Solanales; Solanaceae.